UAGGUGUUGGCCUUAGGGCCAGUGCUGCAGUUAACGCAUUAAGUAUGCCACCUGGGGAGUACGUCGGCAACGAUGAAACUCAAAGGAAUUGACGGGGGCCCGCACAAGCGGUGGAGCAUGUGGCUUAAUUCGAUGCAACGCGAGGAACCUUACCUGGGCUAAAUCCACAGUGAUGUCUUCUGGAAACAGGAGGUCCCUUAGGGGCACUAUGGAAGGUGCUGCAUGGCUGUCGUCAGCUCGUGCCGUGAGGUGUUGGGUUAAGUCCCGCGACGAGCGCAACCCCUGUGGUUAGUUACCAGCACGUAAUGGUGGGGACUCUAGCCAGACUGCCUACGCAAGUAGUGAGGAAGGUGGGGACGACGUCAAGUCAUCAUGGCCCUUACGUCCAGGGCUGCACACGUGCUACAAUGGUCGGUACAAUGGGUCGCCACCCAGCGAUGGGGCGCAAAUCCAUAAAACCGAUCUCAGUUCGGAUUGGAGUCUGCAACUCGACUCCAUGAAGUUGGAAUCGCUAGUAAUCGCGCAUCAGCAAUGGCGCGGUGAAUACGUUCCCGGGCCUUGUACACACCGCCCGUCAAGCGAUGGAAGUCAGGAGUACCUGAUGUCGGCGUGCCAACCUUCGGGGGGCAGCUGCCUAGGGUAAGCCUGGUAACUGGCGCUAAGUCGUAACAAGGUAACCGUAAAUCU
This 687-nucleotide ribosomal RNA is filed under the name uncultured bacterium. RNAcentral's name for it is "bacterial SSU rRNA". It matches the Rfam family "Bacterial small subunit ribosomal RNA", at positions 817 to 1509 of the family's 1533-position model. The record is from RNAcentral.